GCCGGGAUGGCAGAGUGGAUAAUGCGCAGGCCUUGAGAGCCUGUGGCCUUGUUGGCCACAUGGGUUCGAAUCCCAUUCCCGGCG
RNAcentral lists this transfer RNA (84 nucleotides) under Candidatus Bathyarchaeota archaeon. RNAcentral's name for it is "tRNA-Ser". It matches the Rfam family "tRNA". From Rfam's summary of the family: Transfer RNA (tRNA) molecules are approximately 80 nucleotides in length. RNAcentral also lists the same sequence under 1 other name. Lineage: Archaea; Thermoproteati; Candidatus Bathyarchaeota. The record is from RNAcentral.